AGGCUUAACACAUGCAAGUCGAGGGGCAGCAUGGUCUUAGCUUGCUAAGGCCGAUGGCGACCGGCGCACGGGUGAGUAACACGUAUCCAACCUGCCGUCUACUCUUGGACAGCCUUCUGAAAGGAAGAUUAAUACAAGAUGGCAUCAUGAGUCCGCAUGUUCACAUGAUUAAAGGUAUUCCGGUAGACGAUGGGGAUGCGUUCCAUUAGAUAGUAGGCGGGGUAACGGCCCACCUAGUCUUCGAUGGAUAGGGGUUCUGAGAGGAAGGUCCCCCACAUUGGAACUGAGACACGGUCCAAACUCCUACGGGAGGCAGCAGUGAGGAAUAUUGGUCAAUGGGCGAGAGCCUGAACCAGCCAAGUAGCGUGAAGGAUGACUGCCCUAUGGGUUGUAAACUUCUUUUAUAAAGGAAUAAAGUCGGGUAUGGAUACCCGUUUGCAUGUACUUCAUGAAUAAGGAUCGGCUAACUCCGUGCCAGCAGCCGCGGUAAUACGGAGGAUCCGAGCGUUAUCCGGAUUUAUUGGGUUUAAAGGGAGCGUAGAUGGAUGUUUAAGUCAGUUGUGAAAGUUUGCGGCUCAACCGUAAAAUUGCAGUUGAUACUGGAUAUCUUGAGUGCAGUUGAGGCAGGCGGAAUUCGUGGUGUAGCGGUGAAAUGCUUAGAUAUCACGAAGAACUCCGAUUGCGAAGGCAGCCUGCUAAGCUGCAACUGACAUUGAGGCUCGAAAGUGUGGGUAUCAAACAGGAUUAGAUACCCUGGUAGUCCACACGGUAAACGAUGAAUACUCGCUGUUUGCGAUAUACUGCAAGCGGCCAAGCAAAAGCGUUAAGUAUUCCACCUGGGGAGUACGCCGGCAACGGUGAAACUCAAAGGAAUUGACGGGGGCCCACACAAGCGGAGGAACAUGUGGUUUAAUUCGAUGAUACGCGAGGAACCUUACCCGGGCUUAAAUUGCAGAUGAAUUACGGCGAAAGCCGUAAGCCGCAAGGCAUCUGUGAAGGUGCUGCAUGGUUGUCGUCAGCUCGUGCCGUGAGGUGUCGGCUUAAGUGCCAUAACGAGCGCAACCCUUGUUGUCAGUUACUAACAGGUUCCGCUGAGGACUCUGACAAGACUGCCAUCGUAAGAUGUGAGGAAGGUGGGGAUGACGUCAAAUCAGCACGGCCCUUACGUCCGGGGCUACACACGUGUUACAAUGGGGGGUACAGAGGGCCGCUACCACGCGAGUGGAUGCCAAUCCCCAAAACCUCUCUCAGUUCGGACUGGAGUCUGCAACCCGACUCCACGAAGCUGGAUUCGCUAGUAAUCGCGCAUCAGCCACGGCGCGGUGAAUACGUUCCCGGGCCUUGUACACACCGCCCGUCAAGCCAUGGGAGCCGGGGGUACCUGAAGUGCGUAACCGCGAGGAGCGCCCUAGGGUAAAACUGGUGACUGGGGCUAAGUCGUA
This 1442-nucleotide ribosomal RNA is filed under the name uncultured bacterium. Its description in RNAcentral is "bacterial SSU rRNA". It matches the Rfam family "Bacterial small subunit ribosomal RNA". The record is from RNAcentral.